AGACUCUCAGUUCUUGAGAUGAGGGACCCGAUUCAAACUGAUUGGCCAUGAUUCUUCCCCCAAACCCUAUGCUUGUACUUGCGAAGGUGUUCAUCUGGUUGAACUGCCUUUCUGGAUUAGGAUUAGCAAAGGUGUUUUGAUGAUGAUCUUAUCUCUUUGAAUUGGGAGGAACGAAGGUGUUUUGCUAACAAACUUCCUUUUUUUGGGGCUGCUCUAGCUCUAAUCGCAAUCUUUU
This 235-nucleotide long non-coding RNA is filed under the name Setaria italica (foxtail millet). Its description in RNAcentral is "long non-coding RNA (SITA_LNC003847)". The record is from RNAcentral. Lineage: Eukaryota; Viridiplantae; Streptophyta; Magnoliopsida; Poales; Poaceae.